CCUACGGGUGGCAGCAGUGGGGAAUAUUGGACAAUGGGCGCAAGCCUGACCCAGCAACGCCGCGUGAGGGAAGAAGGCUUUCGGGUUGUAAACUUCUUUUAGCAGGGACGAAACAAGUGCCGGUACCUCAGGAGUAAGUCACGGCUAACUACGUGCCAGCAGCCGCGGUAAUACGUGGGGGGCAAGCGUUAUCCGGAUUUACUGGGUGUAAAGGGAGUGUAGGCGGGGCUGCAAGUCAGUUGUGAAAAGCACCGGCUCAACUUGUGGACUGCAUUUGAAACUGGCGUUCUAGAGUACUGGAGAGGCAGGCGGAAUUCCUAGUGUAGCGGUGAAAUGCGUAGAUAUUAGGAGGAACACCAGUGGCGAAGGCGGCUUACUGGACCGUAACUGACGUUGAGGCUCGAAAGCGUGGGGAGCAAACAGGAUUAGAUACCCGGGUAGUC
RNAcentral lists this ribosomal RNA (443 nucleotides) under uncultured bacterium. RNAcentral's name for it is "partial 16S ribosomal RNA". It matches the Rfam family "Bacterial small subunit ribosomal RNA", at positions 338 to 795 of the family's 1533-position model. The record is from RNAcentral.